GUGGGGAAUAUUGGACAAUGGGCGAAAGCCUGAUCCAGCCAUGCCGCGUGUGUGAAGAAGGUCUUCGGAUUGUAAAGCACUUUAAGUUGGGAGGAAGGGUAGUAACCUAAUACGUUGCUACUUUGACGUUACCGACAGAAUAAGCACCGGCUAACUUCGUGCCAGCAGCCGCGGUAAUACGAAGGGUGCAAGCGUUAAUCGGAAUUACUGGGCGUAAAGCGCGCGUAGGUGGUUCAGUAAGUUGGAAGUGAAAUCCCCGGGCUCAACCUGGGAACUGCUUUCAAAACUGCUGAGCUAGAGUACGGUAGAGGGUGGUGGAAUUUCCUGUGUAGCGGUGAAAUGCGUAGAUAUAGGAAGGGACACCAGUGGCGAAGGCGACCACCUGGACUGAUACUGACACUGAGGUGCGAAAGCGUGGGGAGCAAACAGGAUUAGAUACCCGGGUAGUCC
Molecule: ribosomal RNA, 450 nt
Filed under: uncultured bacterium
Lineage: Bacteria
Description: partial 16S ribosomal RNA
Rfam family: Bacterial small subunit ribosomal RNA
Source: RNAcentral